AGUGAACGCUGGCGGCAGGCCUAACACAUGCAAGUCGAACGGCAGCACAGUAAGCGCUUUCUCUUACGGGUGGCGACUGGCGGACGGGUGAGGCAUACAUCACCUUCUUCUUUUUCUUGGGUGAUAACGUAGGGCCACUUACGCUAAUACCUCAUAUGUUCUACGGGUUAAUUCAGUGGUUCUUCGCACCUUUCGCGUUUGUAUGAGCUGGUGUCGCAUUAGCUAGUUGGCGUGGUAAAGGCCCACCAAGGCGACGAUCCGUAGCUGGUCUGAGAGGAUGAUCAGCCACACUGGAACUGAGACACGGUCCAGACUCCUACGGGAGGCAGCAGUGGGGAAUAUUGGGCAAAGGGCGAAAGCCUGACGGAGCAAUGCCGCGUGAGUGAAGAAGGUCUUCGGAUUGUAAAGCCCUGUUAUUAGGAAAGAAAAGAAGUGGAAGAAAACACGGAUGUUUUGACGGUACCUAAAGAGAAAGCAACGGCUAACUACGUG
RNAcentral lists this ribosomal RNA (492 nucleotides) under uncultured bacterium. RNAcentral describes it as "partial 16S ribosomal RNA". It matches the Rfam family "Bacterial small subunit ribosomal RNA", at positions 29 to 507 of the family's 1533-position model. The record is from RNAcentral.